AUCAUAGAAUGGUUUGGAUUGGAAGAGACCUUUAAGACCAUCUGGUUCCAACCCCCCUGCUAUAGGCAGGGACACCUCCCACUAGAACAGGUUGCUUAAAGCCCCAUCCAGCCUGGCCUUGAAAUCCUCCUAAGUGAUGCUUACAAUGGAAUCAUAACUAAUGACAGAAGUUGCAGGUUGGAACAUUUAAGUGAAUUCGUUUCCAUGAGAACAGAUUGCUGAAGAAAUCAUUCAGCUUACAUUUUAUCAGACUGCUGAAUGAACUCUGGAUUUUUUUUGCAGUUCUAGGAGACCUUGUUGCUGUUGACACUGAAGCCGAGGCAAAAGAGAAUGCUGGGAAGAAGGAUACAAGCAGCUGCUCUGGAAGGAAAGAGCAGAUCCAGAGCUUUGGCAGAGCCCUAACCUACUGCACCAUGUUUGGCCCUAGUGCUGAGGCCUUUUCCUUUGGGCAGCGCUAUGCAAUCACUGGCACUUGCCCAGAGGCUGAGG
This is a long non-coding RNA of Numida meleagris (helmeted guineafowl), 489 nucleotides long. RefSeq lists it as uncharacterized. NCBI's taxonomy places the organism in Eukaryota, Metazoa, Chordata, Aves, Galliformes, Numididae. The record is from RefSeq and is a predicted model, not a curated record. The transcript has 3 exons.